This 497-nucleotide ribosomal RNA is filed under the name uncultured bacterium. Its description in RNAcentral is "partial 16S ribosomal RNA". It matches the Rfam family "Bacterial small subunit ribosomal RNA", at positions 28 to 507 of the family's 1533-position model. The record is from RNAcentral.
GAUGAACGCUGGCGGCGUGCCUAAUACAUGCAAGUCGAGCGAACAGACGAGGAGCUUGCUCCUCUGACGUUAGCGGCGGACGGGUGAGUAACGCGUGGAUAACCUACCUAUAAGACUGGGAUAACUUCGGGAAACCGGAGCUAAUACCGGAUAAUAUAUUGAACCGCAUGGUUCAAUAGUGAAAGACGGUUUUGCUGUCACUUAUAGAUGGAUCCGCGCCGCAUUAGCUAGUUGGUAAGGUAACGGCUUACCAAGGCAACGAUGCGUAGCCGACCUGGGAGGGUGAUCGGCCACACUGGAACUGAGACACGGUCCAGACUCCUACGGGAGGCAGCAGUAGGGAAUCUUCCGCAAUGGGCGAAAGCCUGACGGAGCAACGCCGCGUGAGUGAUGAAGGUCUUCGGAUCGUAAAACUCUGUUAUUAGGGAAGAACAAAUGUGUAAGUAACUAUGCACGUCUUGACGGUACCUAAUCAGAAAGCCACGGCUAACUACGUG